UCUGAAGCCCAAAAUAAGUUAUGGGGAGAGAAAAGGAUGUAUUAUCAGUAUGUGUUUAUCAAUCAGGGAUCCGCAAGAAGCGAAGAGCCUGCACCAGUGAUUUCAAUAGUGGGAAUCCAUUCGGGAACUAGUUAGGAGGUGCUGAAAGCACUGAAAACCCAAGUGGGCUGGUGAGAUGACAUAGAGAUGAGCAACAGCAGCAAGCUGCUCCUUCCCACCCACACACAGCUGGAGGGACUGAAGAAAUAGGAGCGAACGUUCCCAGACUUGAGGGAACCAGCAGCACAGAUCUGCUGAAAAGCCCCAGAAGGCAGAGCUGGGGUCCGGGGUGGACAAGAAAAGUGAAGAGGACAACCUGAAGUUUACUGUCCUCCUCUUCCCAGUCUCCGCCUGGGUGCCUGUCUUUGCCAGAAAUUAACAGGAAGCCAGCUGGCAAAGGAGCCUGGGAAAUGUAAUUUGCCAGGGUCAGGCUGAACCGGGAAGGGCAGCCGAUGGACCCAGGAGUGGACGGUGACCAGCACAGCCACGUUCUCUUCAGUGCAGAUGAGCAGAGACUCCGUGUGGGGAAUUUUUAUUGCAUGAGAAGGUAUAAUGUGGAAGACAUCUGAAGGCCCUGAGCAAGUUGCAUCCUCUGCCUGUAAAUCCCUUCCUGGCUUAAGAAUUGAGUGGACCGAGGAGAUGAUGUCAUAUCCUUAGGAAUUCUUGACAGCUCCCUGGAAUUUGGCAAUCCCGAUGUCUAGGCUACAGAUUUCUGGAGUAUGUGAUGUAAUUCUUCAAAUAUUUUCUCAGAGGUUUUUGCUCUACCCGCUCUUGAAAUGUUGCAGGUAAAUAAUCUCCGAUAUGCAGCUAACACCACCUUUUGGCAGAAAGCAAAGAACUAAAGAGCCUCUUGAUGAUCUUCAGAUGAAAGAGGAGAGUGAAAAAGGUAGCUUAAAACUCAGUAUUCCAAAAACUAAGAUCAUGGCAUCCGGCUCCAUCACU
Bubalus bubalis (water buffalo) is the source of this 981-nucleotide long non-coding RNA. RefSeq lists it as uncharacterized. The transcript has 4 exons. NCBI's taxonomy places the organism in Eukaryota, Metazoa, Chordata, Mammalia, Artiodactyla, Bovidae. The record is from RefSeq and is a predicted model, not a curated record.